CCCGUACUUGGUGUUACUGCGAAGGGGGGACGGAGAAGGCUAUGUUGGCCGGGCGACGGUUGUCCCGGUUUAAGCGUGUAGGUGUGUGUUCCAGGUAAAUCCGGUUCACUUUAACACUGAGGCGUGAUGACGAGGCACUACGGUGCUGAAGCAACAAAUGCCCUGCUUCCAGGAAAAGCCUCUAAGCAUCAGGUAACAUCAAAUCGUACCCCAAACCGACACAGGUGGUCAGGUAGAGAAUACCAAGGCGCUUGAGAGAACUCGGGUGAAGGAACUAGGCAAAAUG
This 286-nucleotide ribosomal RNA is filed under the name Salmonella enterica subsp. enterica serovar 1,4,[5],12:i:-. RNAcentral describes it as "partial 23S ribosomal RNA". It matches the Rfam family "Bacterial large subunit ribosomal RNA", at positions 1438 to 1724 of the family's 2925-position model. Lineage: Bacteria; Pseudomonadati; Pseudomonadota; Gammaproteobacteria; Enterobacterales; Enterobacteriaceae. The record is from RNAcentral.